UUCAUUUCUGAACGCGUUUGUGGGGUUUGGUUUGGACCACGUUUGGGCAUCGGAGUAAAGUAUUGUCAAGGAGGGUUCGCUGGUGUUUGUCGGUGUCGGAUUGAGUUUCGUUAGCGGAUUUUGUGAGAGUGACCACCUUGCGCACCUGCUCGCUGCAAUAUCCCGGCUGUUACACCCGUCUGGUCGACCAUGUCCCGAACCUGCGUGAAUUCGCCUGAACCUGCGCAAACCUGCGUCCAGCCAAAGUAGAAGCGAGUAAUGGAGUAACGCUUAGUUUUUGUAGAUUUUAACGAACGCGUGUCGGGAUCGACGCUGAGUGUUAAAGAAGCCUCGAAUAAGACAUGAGAAUGGCGAAAACGAGAAAUCGGAGUGUUCGACGCGUUUCAAUUGCGAGCUCUUUUGGUCUAUUGUUGGACAAGAAUUGACCUCAUAUCAAAGAAGGAAAGGAUGAGAGGAACACAAUUAUUACCAAUGCGCCUGCUUCGGAGACAAGUGCUUCGCGUUGUCAGUUCUUGCUUCUUUAUCAGUUGGUCGCAGAGCGAAGAUAUCGAUGUUGCAUUUUGGCUUUCAUGCGAUGCAACUCCACGAUUCGAUAUAAAUUCGUGAAACCAACAAUUUGCAUUUUAUGGAUAAAAAUGAUGAGAUUAACUGGACCAUGACAACCAAAAAGAUUGCAAGGACAUUUCAACGACUUUGUAAUUCUUGGUGUUGAGAAUCCUUUUUUAUAUACAUUUCAUCUAGAGUAUUAAUCAAGGAUAAAGGAUACGUGCUCAAAGAGCAAGGUUCAUUAUGGACGAAGGCAUGCUGGAUGAUUUGUUGGAAUGCUCGGUCUGCCUCGAGAGAUUAGAUACUUCUAGCAAAGUUUUACCAUGCCAACAUACUUUUUGCAAAAAAUGUCUGGAAGACAUAGCAAAUACACAUCGCGAGUUACGAUGCCCAGAGUGUCGGAUCCUGGUUGAAGUAAAGAUCGAUGACUUGCCACCUAAUGUUUUAUUGAUGCGCAUUUUGGAGGGCAUGCGUAAUGCUGGACCUAGGAAUGGAAAGAAUUCUACACGCACGAAUGCUACUCCUAGGCGACCUUUCGCAGGCCACCAGGUCGCCCCUGUACCUAUCAAUACUUCCAUUGCCCCUAUUGUAGCUCCCGAUUCUACUGUCAGACAUGCAGAUUCUUCUGCUAAACUUACCCGAUCACAUCCUCAGCCGUACGGGCGAGCCAUUUACGAUUAUGUCUCUAAAGUUCCAGGGGAUUUAAACUUCAGAAAGGGAGACAUUAUUACGCUAAGAAAGAAAAUUGAUAACAAUUGGUACUUUGGAGAGUCUAGCAGCAGUCAUGGUGUCUUUCCAUUAUCUUACAUUCAGGUGGUAACGCCAUUGCCACCUCAUAUUCCUCAGUGCAAAGCUUUAUACGACUUCCGAAUGACCAACGAUGAAGAAGAAGGUUGUCUGACUUUUAACAAGGGUGAGGUUAUCAGUGUAAUUAGACGAGUGGAUGAAAAUUGGGCAGAGGGAAAAUUGCUGGACCGAAUUGGUAUUUUCCCUCUGGCAUUUGUAGAACUGAAUGGUGUAGCUAGAGCUCUUAUGAAGCUGUCUGCAAACGCACAACCAGGCCCAUCCAGAGUGGCUCCACCAACUCCUACUAACGAAGAAACAACACCGUUGAUACCAACUGACCAUUCGCGAAACGUACAAACUACAAGCCAUCCUCGUCCUCAACCAGCACCCACCUCCACACUGCCAGUGUCAGACUCAAACUCCACCCUUUCCUCUGGAGGUAGUUCUACGACAACAACCACACCAAAUACUCCAAAUAGUUCGAGCACAUCUAGCAGCUCAAGCACGGCUCCAAGCAGCCCUGGUAGCCCAGCUACUUCUCCGAUGGCAGUAGGCACAAGGCAAAGCGUCAAACGCCACAGUUUCACUGCCAACACAAGGCAUCAUUCUCAUUCACACUCUCACCACAGACACAGUGCGGAGAUACUUAGUCCUGCAGUGGACGCUCUAAUAGCUGGGAACGGUUCAACUAAUGGCAACGGAACUGGAAAUGGCGCUGGCUCCAAUGAACAUUUUGCUUUGGCGGUUUUGACGAGCCCUGACCCUACGGAGUACAGUCUUCGCCAUCGCCGCAGUGGAAGUAGCGACCAGGUCCUCGCCCAAAGUCUUUCGACAAGUGUAGUCAACACUGCGAGCACUACCUCCAACAGUUGCCACUUGCCCGCAGCGUACAUAGCCUUGUAUCCGUACAAACCUCAAAAAGCUGAUGAGUUAGAGCUUAGAAAAGGCGGCAUUUAUAUGGUCACCGAACGUUGUCAAGAUGGCUGGUUCAAGGGAACGUCGAAUCGUACCCAAAAGUGUGGAGUCUUUCCAGGCAACUAUGUCACACCUGCGAAAUGCCAACGCGGUGCCUGUCGUACAGCUUCGAGUGGCUCGGUACCGUCCCAACAGGGUGCCGCCCUGGCUUCCGUACAAGUGAGCGCCGGUGAACGAUUACACGCCUCUUGUACAAGGACAAAUAAGAGCGGCCCUUCUUUGCAGCAACCGUUCAAUUUACACUCCCUGCCACCGCCGGAAUUACCCCCGCGGUCUGCCAGUCCUAGCCCCGUGUCUUCGUCGACCUGGCUAAAUAAGAGCCAGUCUCCACCCCGAGGUGGCGAGCAAUCAAUGAACGCUACCGGCACGACCCCCACCACAUCCAGCAGUGCCGCCACUACUGUGAUUGGACGAACCCAUGCGACAGUGUCGCCGCCUACUGUCGCAGCGUCGCCAGGUAGUCAAGCAGCAGUAGCUCCUAUUUUGCCAUCAACUCCUGAUGUUCAUCGUGAACCAAGUCGAAGUCCGAGCAGCACUGCUCGCAUGUCCUCCAACGCGCCCAUGUCUCUCCCGACCGCGUCUACCGUUGCACCAUUAAUUAAUGUGAGAAGCGCUGAAAAGCCGAAAGAGAAGAAGGACCACAAGGGCGUUUCCUUGAUGCGGCGUUUGACGAACAUCAAGAAAUCCAAAUCACCUCCUCCGGCCACGUACUCCAUGGAUAAUCCUGUGUUUGACGAUGGGAACUCUAUCGGCACCUCCAAUCCAGUACACAUGCGGUCGGGGUCUUGCCCCAGCCAGUUGCUACAGAUGGGGCCUGCGCAAGAAAUAAAUAAUCCGGUGCACAACCAACAACGAUUGCACCUAGGAUCCGGUCAAGGACUCACACAUGCCGUCAUUUCUGAGAGGGCUAAACAAAAGGAGAAAUACUCCCUGCCUGUCUCCCAAUGUGUUUUUACGCAGAGGCCUGGAGAUCCGACAACGGCGACAAACCCGACCGGCAGUAGUCAUCAUCGCAAGAGCAACUCUUUAGACGCUGGAAUGGGAAAGCACAUAAAGCAGCACCAAUUUUCAUCGAGAGAAAGGGAACGCGUAUACAGAUUUCGUUGUAUCGUCCCAUAUCCUCCGAACAGCGAGUUCGAAUUGGAGCUGCGCGUCGGAGACAUAAUCUACGUACACAAGAAACGCGACGACGGUUGGUAUAAAGGCACGCAGGAACGCACAGGUCGUACCGGUCUCUUUCCGGCCAGCUUCGUCGAAGCCUUUUGAGAUUCAACCAGCGCUCGAUUCCUAUUGGAGACCUGCAUUUAAAUCGUUCGCGCUGUAGCCGAGAGGUUGUCACCAUUAGCCAUAUCGCGGCGUUUAUCGAGACUAUAGACGACGAAUCGUUCGAGGACGCGGGAUGGCGAUUGAAAUCGACUCAGUGAAGAAACUCUUCCGCGCGAUGAUGACACCUAGUGGAAGAUGUUUCGCGAGAAAUUCACGUUCGUAAAAAAGUGAACUUGCUUCCCGUCCGCGUGUAAACCUUAUUCCGAUGUCUAAGAUAGAAAACGCGUAUAGACUAGAGGCAUACAAUUCCCCUUUUUGGAGGUGGUUGCGAAAGACACUCGGAAAAGCGUCCCUUGCGGUGACUUUUACCAUUGAUCGGUGAUCGUGCUCGAUGCGUCACUGUUGAACAUUAUCAGUCGAGAGGAUGGAGAAAGUGACGUCGCUAGGGUAUAAGUUUUUCUUUUAACUCCACUUCCAAGGAAGGGACUCGAAGCCCGUUGCCGUAUGUAUGUAUGCAUGUAUGUACGUAUGUGAGCGUGAUUGUGCGCAAUUCGAUGUACUCGAGGUGACUAGGUAAUAAGCUUAAUUCGGAAUCGUCUGUACUGCCAUUAACCCCUUACCGAGUGUGCGGAGACGAAGGCGAGGCGUAUAUCGUGAAUAUUAUCCGUCGCGUUUAUGUGCAUGUACACUAGUGAUAUCGCAACUAUCGCAUUUAUAUAAUUGACAUUCGAUCGAUCGUCGGAGCUCGGGACAUCACUUCGCGUCAAAAUACUUUUCGAGCAGUCCAAAACACCCUGUCCUCUUCGGGGGAAUACAAACGUACCAUGCCGCUCCAAAUCGUGCCUUCGAUAUUGCCAGGAAAAUUCGCGGUAAAUAGCGACACCAGGAGUGUCUUCGGAAAGAACGGUUGGGCUGGUUUGAAACGGCGUUCAAUCUUUAUUAGCGUUGUACGAAAUCGAUUCGAGAACUCGUUAUUUCCGAAUGCAUCUCGACUGGUCUCUCGUGCACGAAACGCAUCGCCACGAUGUCAUGUCCCGUGCCUUUAAACCCUGCUUCGAAAAGAAUGGAAACCAUUAACGUGUAGCGACCAUUUUCUUUACUAGCUGUUUACAUAUAUUAUACACGGUGUAAAACUGCUAAUUGGUGUUUAAGAAGUCAUUAAAGUGUACUUUGUUUUUCGUCCGCGGAAGUCGUUUACCGAACGCCUGACGAUGCGACGAGCUUGGUCUUAAAUAUUUAAUAAACUAGUGAAUAAUUAUGCUACAAGCAAUGCAAUGACGCGCAAUACUUUUCUCCGUCGACUGGCACUGCGAUUAUUUACCUGUAUGAAGUACAACAUUGUAUACGGUUAGUUAGAAUCGUUUCUUAUACGUUUUCUCGAAUUCUGUAACCUGCGAACUUUGCGUCGUCGAGGUAAUCUGUGACGUCAGUUUUAAUAUUACGUAAUUUCACUUUU
This 5029-nucleotide unclassified non-coding RNA is filed under the name Orussus abietinus. RNAcentral describes it as "sH3 domain-containing RING finger protein 3, transcript variant X4". The record is from RNAcentral. Lineage: Eukaryota; Metazoa; Arthropoda; Insecta; Hymenoptera; Orussidae.